This 71-nucleotide transfer RNA is filed under the name Loxodonta africana (African savanna elephant). It matches the Rfam family "tRNA". Rfam says of the family: Transfer RNA (tRNA) molecules are approximately 80 nucleotides in length. Their secondary structure includes four short double-helical elements and three loops (D, anti-codon, and T loops). The record is from Rfam by way of RNAcentral. Lineage: Eukaryota; Metazoa; Chordata; Mammalia; Proboscidea; Elephantidae.
GCAGUGGUGGUUCAGUGGUGGAAUUCUUGCCUUCCAUAUGGAAAACCUGGGUUUGAUUCCCAGCUAAUGUA